UACCAGCUCUCCGAGUUGUAGGGAUGAUUAUUGGGCUUAAAGCGUCCGUAGCUGGCUUAGCAAGUCUCCUGUUAAAUUCAGCGACCUAAUCGUUGAGCCGCGGGAGAUACUACUAGGCUAGGAGGCGGGAGAGGUCGACGGUACUUUCGGGGUAGGGGUGAAAUCCUAUAAUCCCGGGAGGACCACCAGUGGCGAAGGCUGUCGACUAGAACGCGCUCGACGGUGAGGGACGAAAGCUGGGGGAGCGAACCGGAUUAGAUACCCGGGUAGUCCCAGCUGUAAACUAUGCGGGCUAGGUGUUGGGGUGGCUACGGGCCACUUCAGUGCCGCAGGAAAGCCAUUAAGCCCGCCGCCUGGGAAGUACGGUCGCAAGGCUAGAAACUUAAAGGAAUUGGCGGGGGAGCACCGACAACGGGUGGAGCCUGCGGUUU
This 431-nucleotide ribosomal RNA is filed under the name uncultured archaeon. RNAcentral's name for it is "bacterial SSU rRNA". It matches the Rfam family "Archaeal small subunit ribosomal RNA", at positions 474 to 903 of the family's 1478-position model. The record is from RNAcentral.